This 102-nucleotide ribosomal RNA is filed under the name Clostridiales bacterium. Its description in RNAcentral is "partial 16S ribosomal RNA". It matches the Rfam family "Bacterial small subunit ribosomal RNA", at positions 1 to 98 of the family's 1533-position model. Lineage: Bacteria; Bacillati; Bacillota; Clostridia; Eubacteriales. The record is from RNAcentral.
AACACAAGAGUUUGAUCCUGGCUCAGGACGAACGCUGGCGGCGUGCUUAACACAUGCAAGUCGAACGAGGAUCGAUAGGGAGCUUGCUCCCGGUUGAUCCGA